GUAGGUGGCAAGCGUUGUCCGGAAUUAUUGGGCGUAAAGCGCGCGCAGGCGGUUCUUUAAGUCUGAUGUGAAAGCCCACGGCUCAACCGUGGAGGGUCAUUGGAAACUGGAGAACUUGAGUACAGAAGAGGAAAGCGGAAUUCCACGUGUAGCGGUGAAAUGCGUAGAGAUGUGGAGGAACACCAGUGGCGAAGGCGGCUUUCUGGUCUGUAACUGACGCUGAGGCGCGAAAGCGUGGGGAGCAAACAGGAUUAGAUACCCUGGUAGUCCACGCCGUAAACGAUGAGUGCUAAGUGUUAGGGGGUUUCCGCCCCCCUUAGUGCUGGCAGCUAACGCAUUAAGCACUCCGCCUGGGAGUACGGCCGCAAGGCUG
RNAcentral lists this ribosomal RNA (373 nucleotides) under uncultured organism. Its description in RNAcentral is "partial 16S ribosomal RNA". It matches the Rfam family "Bacterial small subunit ribosomal RNA", at positions 527 to 896 of the family's 1533-position model. The record is from RNAcentral.